AUACGGAGGAUCUGAGCGUUAUCCGGAUUUAUUGGGUUUAAAGGGUGCGCAGGCGGCCAUUUAAGUCAGCGGUUAAAUCGUGGGGCUCAACCCCAUUCUGCCGUUGAUACUGGGUGGCUUGAUUGCGGUCGAGGUUGGCGGAAUUCGUUGUGUAGCGGUGAAAUGCAUAGAUAUGACGAAGAACACCGAUUGCGUAGGCAGCUGACCAGACCGCAAAUGACGCUCAUGCACGAAAGUGCGGGGAUCGAACAGGAUUAGAUACCCUGGUAGUCCGCACAGUAAACGAUGAAUACUUGUUUUCGGCGAUAUAAUGUCGGAGGCAAAGCGAAAGCGAUAAGUAUUCCACCUGGGGAGUACGCCGGCAACGGUGAAACUCAAAGGAAUUGACGGGG
This 392-nucleotide ribosomal RNA is filed under the name uncultured bacterium. Its description in RNAcentral is "partial 16S ribosomal RNA". It matches the Rfam family "Bacterial small subunit ribosomal RNA", at positions 523 to 918 of the family's 1533-position model. The record is from RNAcentral.